UCCUUUGGGGAUAUUGAUAAAAUCAGAACUAUACACAAAAGAUUAACAUAGUCACUGCGUAAGGAUGACACAAAAAAAAAAAAAUCAAGAAAUAGUCCA
This is a small nuclear RNA of Lycium ferocissimum, 99 nucleotides long. The record is from RefSeq and is a predicted model, not a curated record. NCBI's taxonomy places the organism in Eukaryota, Viridiplantae, Streptophyta, Magnoliopsida, Solanales, Solanaceae.